RNAcentral lists this long non-coding RNA (489 nucleotides) under Salvator merianae (Argentine black and white tegu). RNAcentral describes it as "lncRNA (ENSSMRG00000022464.1)". Lineage: Eukaryota; Metazoa; Chordata; Lepidosauria; Squamata; Teiidae. The record is from RNAcentral.
GUAUUUCUAAUGCUAGGUAUCUUUUCUAUGGAAAGUUCAGUGACGUGGAGAAAAGGUUAAUUUAUGCUUUUUCACUGGCUGUAAAUAACUUGCCCCACCCCUUUUUUAGCUAUAUGCCUCCUGUCCAUUGGGUAGUUGAUGCAGCAGUGUAUGGCUAUAUGUAUAUGUGGGUGUUAUAUAAUACCAGUGUCAAGUUUCUACCUAGGAUACUCAGUGGGUAGAUUCUGCUGUGCUGUCACACAAAGAAGAAAAGCUACAUGGAUUUUCGGUAAUGCAAGAUUAGAAGUUGCUCAUGGUUCAAUGAGACCGUGUACGGAACUCUUUCAUAAAUUUUCUCAAGGGAAGAAACAGUACAACUUUCACGCCUUUACUUCCUUCAGAGGAAAAGAAAAGGAGAGAAAAGGAGGGACAAAGUCUGAAGAUCAUGGUGAAAUUGGCAGCUAUCCUUCUCUGGGCGGGCUGUUUUACACUCACUCUAGCAGAUGGUAG